GACGAACGCUGGCGGCGUGCUUAACACAUGCAAGUCGAACGGAAAGAUCCUGCUUUUGUUGGUUUCUCGAUUGCCGAACGCGUGAGUGACACGUGUGUAUCCUCUCCCUGUCUUUCUGAUAUCUUCUGGAAACUCGGGCUCUUAUCCGGUAUAAUCUCUUGCUGCACGGUGGUGAUUGGUAAGUGUCGGCGUUUGUGGCUGUUCUCGCGGCUUAUCCGCUUCAUUGUCUGGUAGUUGCUUACCAAGGUUUUGACGGGUAGCCGGCCUGGGAGGCUGACCGGCCACAUUGGGACUGAGAGACGGAGCAGAAUGCUACGGGAGGCAGCAGGGGGGAAUAUUACACAAUGGGCGGAAGCCUGAUGCAACAACGCCGCGUGCGGGAUAACGGCCUUCGGGUGGUAAACCGAUUUCGAAUGUAACGAAGCGUGAGUGACGGUAAUGGGUAAGGAAGCACCGGCUAACUACGUG
This 468-nucleotide ribosomal RNA is filed under the name uncultured bacterium. RNAcentral describes it as "partial 16S ribosomal RNA". It matches the Rfam family "Bacterial small subunit ribosomal RNA", at positions 28 to 507 of the family's 1533-position model. The record is from RNAcentral.